This 500-nucleotide long non-coding RNA is filed under the name Phoenix dactylifera (date palm). RNAcentral's name for it is "long non-coding RNA (PDAC_LNC022905)". The record is from RNAcentral. Lineage: Eukaryota; Viridiplantae; Streptophyta; Magnoliopsida; Arecales; Arecaceae.
UAUGCAUCAAUCAUGAACCAAAUUGCAAUUCAAAUAGUUGAUCUUAAGAGCCUCUAAUUUAAUGAAAAAGGGGGAGAAUAACGUGUUGAAUUUGCUUGAGUAUCUUUUAGAAAAUCUAUUUUGAAAUUCACUAAUGAGUCCUAAUUGGCUUGCUCCUUAGAACUUAAAUUGUGUGCCAAUUCAUAUUUCUUAUGUAUCAAAUUGUGCUUAUUUUCUAAAAGAACAAAAGAAAGUCUUUAAAAGAGCUCUGAGAUGAAUCAUAAAUUGCAUGAAUUCAUAUUUUGGCAUUUGUACCCCAAUGCUCUUAUUAUCAUAAAAGAACUUGAAGUCAUUAAGAAUUAAUGAUCCAACAUGAUGAUAUGUCUUUCAAAUAUAUAAGUUUUGAUCUUUUACUCUGAAAAUCAAUUAAAUUGCUCUCAUGUUGAUAAAAUACUUAAUAGAUUGGGCAAAAGGUCUUAAAUGAACAAGCUUUCAUACUUAUUAAAGAGAGGUUAGAUUUC